This 73-nucleotide transfer RNA is filed under the name Camelus bactrianus (Bactrian camel). It matches the Rfam family "tRNA". Rfam says of the family: Transfer RNA (tRNA) molecules are approximately 80 nucleotides in length. Their secondary structure includes four short double-helical elements and three loops (D, anti-codon, and T loops). Lineage: Eukaryota; Metazoa; Chordata; Mammalia; Artiodactyla; Camelidae. RNAcentral also lists the same sequence under 2 other names. The record is from Rfam by way of RNAcentral.
GAGGAUAUAGCUCAAGUGGUAGAGUGCAUGCUUAGCAUGCAUGAGGUCCUGGGUUCAAUCCCCAGUGCCUCCU